UAAGGGGUCAGGAAAGAGAAUGAGAAGGC
This 29-nucleotide non-coding RNA is filed under the name Homo sapiens (human). Lineage: Eukaryota; Metazoa; Chordata; Mammalia; Primates; Hominidae. The record is from RNAcentral.